GGGAAGGAGAGAGAGGGAAGGAGAGGGAGGGAAGGAGAGGGAAGGAGAGAGAGGGAAGGAGAGGGAGGUAGAGGGAGGGAAGGAGAGGGAGGUAGAGAGAGGGAAGGAGAGGGAGGUAGAGGGAAGUAGAGAGAGGGAGGUAGAGGGAGGUAGAGAGAGGGAAGUAGAGAGAGGGAGGUAGAGAGAGGGAGAUAGAGAGAGGGAAGUAGAGGGAGGUAGAGAGAGAAAGAAGUAGAGGGAGGUAGAGAGAGGGAGGUAGAGGGAGGUAGAGAGUUAGGGAGGUAGAGAGAGGGAAGUAGAGGGAGGUAGAGAGGGGGAAGUAGAGGGAGGUAGAGAGAGGGAGAUAGAGAGAGGGAAGUAGAGGGAGGUAGAGAGAGGGAAGGAGAGGGAGGUAGAGAGAGGGAGAUAGAGAGAGGGAAGUAGAGGGAGGUAGAGAGAGGGAAGGAGAGGGAGGUAGAGAGAGGGAGGUAGAGAGAGGGAAGUAGAGGGAGGUAGAGAGAGGGAAGGAGAGGGAAGUAGAGUGAGGUAGAGAGAGGGAAGUAGAGGGAGGUAGAGAGAGGGAGGUAGAGAGAGGGAUGUAGAGGGAGGUAGAGAGAGGGAAGUAGAGGGAGGUAGAGAGAGGGAAGUAGAUGGAGGUAGAGAGAGGGAGGUAGAGGGAGGUAGACAGAGGGAAGUAGAGGGAGGUAGACAGAGGGAAGUAGAGGGAGGUAGACAGAGGGAAGCAGAGGGAGGUAGACAGAGGGAG
This is a long non-coding RNA of Oncorhynchus tshawytscha (Chinook salmon), 745 nucleotides long. NCBI's taxonomy places the organism in Eukaryota, Metazoa, Chordata, Actinopteri, Salmoniformes, Salmonidae. The record is from Ensembl.